CAGUAGCCACGGGAAUACGUAGGUGGCAAGCGUUGUCCGGAAUUAUUGGGCGUAAAGGGCUCGCAGGCGGUUUCUUAAGUCUGAUGUGAAAGCCCCCGGCUCAACCGGGGAGGGUCAUUGGAAACUGGGCAACUUGAGUGCAGAAGAGGAGAGUGGAAUUCCACGUGUAGCGGUGAAAUGCGUAGAGAUGUAGAGGAACACCAGUGGCGAAGGCGACUCUCUGGUCCGUAACUGACGCUGAGGAGCGAAAGCGUGGGGAGCGAACAGGAUUAGAUACCCCCGUAGUCCCUGUCUCUUAUAC
RNAcentral lists this ribosomal RNA (301 nucleotides) under uncultured bacterium. RNAcentral's name for it is "partial 16S ribosomal RNA". It matches the Rfam family "Bacterial small subunit ribosomal RNA", at positions 509 to 807 of the family's 1533-position model. The record is from RNAcentral.